This 253-nucleotide ribosomal RNA is filed under the name uncultured bacterium. Its description in RNAcentral is "partial 16S ribosomal RNA". It matches the Rfam family "Bacterial small subunit ribosomal RNA", at positions 524 to 776 of the family's 1533-position model. The record is from RNAcentral.
AACGUAGGAGACAAACGUUAUCCGGAGUUACUGGGCGUAAAGGGCGUGUAGGCGGUUUGUUAAGUCUGGCGUGAAAGCUCUCGGCUAAACCGGGAGAGGUCGUUGGAUACUGGCAAACUAGAGGACGGUAGAGGCGUGUGGAAUUCCGGGUGUAGUGGUGAAAUGCGUAGAGAUCCGGAGGAACGCCAGUGGCGAAGGCGACACGCUGGGCCGUACCUGACGCUAAAGCGCGACAGCAUGGGGAGCAAACGGG